Molecule: small nucleolar RNA, 95 nt
Filed under: Caenorhabditis japonica
Lineage: Eukaryota; Metazoa; Nematoda; Chromadorea; Rhabditida; Rhabditidae
Description: snoRNA CJA48617
Rfam family: Caenorhabditis snoRNA ceN104
Source: RNAcentral
UAUCAGUGUUCUGGAACUGCAAUACAAGCUUAGCUCGAGAUGCGUGUACUGGUUUGCCUUUUUGCGAUCUGGUUCCUUUUCUCCUCGGGACAAUU